AAAUUUCUAUUAAUUUUAAUUUUCUUAGAAAAUAUUAUACAUGAAGAAGACAUAAAGAAUUUAUACCAAGCCUUAAAACGCAACUCGUGCAAUAUUUUCUAAUAUUGUGCAAUAACCGUAGUUUCAUGCAGAUGAAGAUACCAGCUUAGGCUCCGUUCAUAAGUGAGCAUUAACUUGCAAUGGUCAUAAACGUUUACCACUUUCAUGACUGAAAAAUGCGACAAGCCUACUGUAGAUCGUUUUAUGGUAUUUUCAAAAUACAGGGUGUAUAUUAAAAAUCUUCUAGAUGACAAAGGGCUUUGGUGACUGUUGAAAAAUUGUACAUUUAGAAAUAAGGACCGUUCCAAAGAAUUCGAAUUUUACGCCUUCUCGCCAAGGCUUAUGAAAGAGAACAAUUCGAAUCGUAUUUUCUUCCUUUUACUCAAGAGAGAACGUGUCUAUUUGUGGUCGGCGCAUCUUUCAUAAUUUUCUACGGAGAAUCCUCAAUCCUCCUUUAUUUAAAGAAGCAACAUGUUAUACUCCAGAAAGAGUUCAGAGUCUGAAAGAUGACCAGAAAGUUCCAGCAGGUCGGCGUCAUUAUGGUCGUAUCACAUUUCACGCGAUGUAUUAUCAUUUUUUCUUCCUCUGUUGUAACUUUUCCCAGUAGCUCGUGUCUGGCGUCGCCACUGCUACAACGAUACGGCAUUAAAUAACACUCGACGGUAAAGCCAUUAGAUCAGUCGACUGCAAACGCAGAUUAACAAGUAUUUUCAGCUUCGCUUUCAUAUCGGUAAUCUAGAGAGUUCACAUUAAACUACUCUAUAGCAAGUAAAAGUCUAAUCGAAUUAUACAGAUAGAAAAUACUUUUGAGAUGAAUAGGAAUGCCACAUGAAAAAUCUUCUUUACCUUCUCAUUAAUUCCACUGUCCUGCAACGUUACCUAACUCGGUCGUAGUUGCUGAAAAACAAAUCUAAUUGCCAUCCGUUGCAGUAGAUGGCAGAUCCCACGAUGUCUAAUUCAACAGUCACUACACUCGCUCGUUAUCUGCUUCUAAUUCUGGUAGAAUCGCGUGAAAGCGAGGUCACUACGUCCCUUCUCGUCAUUCUUAUGAAAUAUCUCAAUAAAACGAUCAACCGAUCUCAUCCCGUGCUCAGAAGAUAUAAAAUAUCUAAAAGGUAAUAAGUCAUGAACGUGAUCGUGUAUACCAAAGCUGUAGGAAAUCCGGCCUAGUCCUCACUGCUGCGACAACAACUUUUGCAGGAUUACGUAAAGGUUAUGUUAUCCUGUCAGCAGUGCUCUGUAACGAAUUUUGUAACAUUGCGAGUCGCGUUGAAUAUUAAGAAUCUGCGUGGUGCAGUGUGUUACACAGUUUUAUUAUGAGGCUCUCACACCGAACGAAAGGGAGCUCUCACCUUAAAUGGAGUGAAAAUCGAGAAUAUACAAAGCAGCCAUUUAACGACGCUGCGGGUGCGUUAUCGUCGACGAGAGUGGCUUUCAAAAUGGUCUGAACAUAAAGGCGCACCUUCAUAGUCAUUGGCUUUGACAAUUUUUCACGUAAGUAGUCAAGACUUUCUCGCUCGAUUGACUUUGACCUUACUCUCUCAUUGAAGACUGCCUCAAAGUUAAGGUCAGUGAAAAGGAGAAAAAAGAACGUUGCCAUACAAAUUUUUAAGCGAUUCCUAACCUCGAAAUCUUAUUACGUUCUGAUUGCUAUUACAGUUUCCUGGACGGACUAGUAAAUCGAAUAGCUUACUUAAUAGUCGCUGGAUAACUAUAAAUCUUAAAGUCCUCGACACCUAGACCUUCCCUCUCCUUGGAGUUGAUCAAAAUGGAAUCGAGCUUCCGAAGAAGGUCUCGACGAUCUAGGAUACAAGGCGAUGUCUACUUCUGGAGCGAUUCCGUAAGCAGAUAGCCGUGAAAGUUCGUCACCUAACCUAGUCGCUUAGAAAGUUUUUUGUUCGCGAUGGAGAAGCGUAGAAUUCAGCUGGAUAAAUAGAUCUGCGGAUUGCGGAUAUACAGGGAAACGACCGAUUACGAAAGAGAAUUGCAAGACACCAGGUAAUUCGAUAAUAAUACAUGGCCACGUUCAUUACGAUAAAGAGCUGAUAAAUGAAGAUGGUCUUAGUCUAAUAAGCCACAUGCCAGGAUGCUUGCAGGGAAUAUUCCUAAUUCUUGGCCAAGUUCCAAAUACCAGAGAACUUGGGUUUUUCUACGGAUGGCUGUUAUCACAUACUCACGUAGUGGAAACUUUACUGAGGUAUAUUUUGGUGACUACAGCAGCUAUUAAUAACUCUAGUAUUGAGUACAGAUGCAAUCUGAAGAAUCAGCUGAUGGAAGAUCAUAACAGUGAUAAAGAUUAGGAUUACGUUGUCGUGGCUAUUAAUAUUAAGGACUGGAUAUCCAACGUUGAAGCAGUCCUCCAGCAGGAAGUCGCGAUCGUGUCUAGAACGCACGUACAGAUUGAACGCCAUGAAAUUCCCCAUCGCAUAGGUAAUCCGCACAGUGGAGUGGCUGUUUGCCCACGCAGGCUCUGGGACUUUUUCUAACGUGACGUCAUGCCCGGUUCUUGUUUUGCUACGAACCACGUCUUGGACUUAAUGUCUUCUGUAAUGACGUUUACUCUUCGGGACGUUAUCUCAUCGCAGCGAUAAAACGAUAUUCACUAAUGACAAAAUUUUCAAGAGUCUCCUUACUGGCUCUGUAAAAUUCCACGAGUUAAGGACAGUCAGGAAGACGAUGUGACGGGAAGUAUUUGAAAAUCCCGUCAAACAUCCGUAUAUCGUAGUCCUCGUGUAAAUCAGCCUUAAACCUUCUGUAUUGGAGUUGGAACAUGUAAAAAAAAAUAUUGUCGCCCACAUAAGAAUAACUAUCAUGAACGAGUGGAGCGUAUCAGGAAGUCGAUACGCAAGAACGAACUCUGUGCAGAAUGUUCAGACCCCGUUAGUGACUAAAGUCCAGUCUCCAUGUAGCGACAGUACCGAAGGAUAUAAAGGUGCUCAGUAUUUUUAAGUCGCUAUAACAGAUAGUCUAGACUCUGCUGAACCGACAAGAUUCAUUGAAAGUAACGUGGUUCUAGGUGUUGGGUUGUCGGAUAAAGCCACUUUCAAUUGUAACGGCAGAAAUCCUGCAGGACUUUCCAUUUCGAAUGGUCGCAUUGUUCAAGCUGCUCGUUUCGUUCUACAGUUCGCCAAUCGGACGACUCGCCGUCAGUUUAUUUGGUUCGUUACGUUGAAAAAGUUCUUUCGCUCGUUGGGCAGUAUCUUCGUGGAACCAGUCGAGCAUUCAUUUUCAAUUAUUCUUCGGCUUCCUGUAGGACUUUUCAUUUCUAUGGUGCCGUCACAUAUACAGCCAGCUUGUGGUACUCGUCAAUGUACUCGUUUCUAGGGUACCGACUGAUACUCGCUUUCUAGAUCUAGAAUUACUUUCCUGCGGGCUGAUGAACUCUGCCAAGUUCAAGGACGAGGAUUUCGCGGUACCAACGUCAGUUGUUAUCUGAACUUUAUAUGCUUCUGCUUUCAUAUAUUUUUAUAGAUCAUUUAUUUGCACUCGAUACAAGCAAUUUACAGACUUCUGAGUGUUCACGCCGUGCGCUCAGCCAAUGCGUUCCAUGAGUUACUUUCGUUACGGUCACGAAGACUCUUGAACUUUCCAUUUCAUCGAUGCUUUCUCCAAAUAGAUGUGACAAAUCAUUGCUUGCGUUUUAUACGGUCUAUCUGGAGUAUUUUAUGUUACAGGUAAAGAAAAAAACUCUGAUUAGUUGCACAGUUUUCUUUGUGAUUAAUUAGCAUUGCACUUGGACUUGUGAUUUCAUGAAAUUGACAUUUAGUGCCGGUCUGAUUGAGAUUUGUAAUCAUUCAGGAAAAUUUCAUAUCAUCUAUUUACUUGGCAAACUUUUCUUUAAUUACCGACAGACGGUAGGAUAGGUUAGUGUCUUGGAUUAAAAUUUAUGCGUUUGUCAAUUAUGGGAAAUAUAUGUUUGCAUUUUUUGCUUGAAAUCACCUUCGACCUCUUGGAUCAUUAGAUUUCCGUGUCAAAAAUUUACUGGUGAUUAUGGGUGACACUUAGAAUUAUCUAAUUAGGUUUGCAAUUGGGUCGUCCUGACGUCAUCUUGACCUGUUAAUCCUAACUACACACCUGGUCAGGUGCAAACCACCUGUUUACUGUUAACCUUAGGUCGCGUACAGCUGAGUUCGACAAGUGACCUUAUCGAGGUAAUGAUGUAAAGUUAGAUACCCUUUAGAGCAUUUAGAGGUUUUGGGUUAAGUAACAUCAACCGGGGUCAAAGUUUAAGUAUAUUUUCGGUCAGAGUGAUAUAUUACAUAUUUGAAAUUUUAUCAGAAAUACUGAUAUAUCUUAAUAUAAUAAUCAUAUUCAGGUUUUUCAUACACAGCCGUAUACUGUAGGUCAACAACGGACUUUGAUUUACAGUCUGUAUAAAAUUUAUUAUCGAAAGACUAAUAAAGUCGUCAAGGCUCAAGCUUUCCUCUGCCAUUAACGAAGAUUAAAAAAUGUGGUCGAUAAUUUAUUUUAGACAAAUAUGAAAUAAUUUUGUCAAGGUCGCAUAGAUAUAAAUAUCCGUUUCGCCACCGUGAUAAUUUUACUUAAAAAAUUGCUCAAUAAUGUCCAAUAACAAUAUUAUUACCAGUAACCAAAGUAGCUCAUCCAAAGGCACAGCUCGUAUCGGAGGCCUCGCGGCAAAAUUUUAAAAGUCAGGCGCACCAACUUUCGUGGCCAGAGCCUGCGAUCCGUACCGGUCGUUCAAAGCUGUCGGGAUCCGACACAAGAUUGCUCAAUGUUUUUGUCGUCCGCAUGCCUCUUGGACUUUCGCUUUCGAAAACUCACUUCGUCGACUUUCUUUUUCCGUCGUCGAUCUGGCUAUUUUUAACAAUUAACCACUCGCCGUGUGGUCUGAUUUAGUUAGUAGAGCUCGGCCGGUCGGUCGGUACAGUAGAUACCUUUGGCCGAUCCAAAGGCUCCGUAUAGAUAUUCAAAAUUAACGGCAUUUUAUUCAACGAACGUGAAAUAAAUAGCGCGAAUCACGUGGAAUCUCUAGUGAAUCUUUACUUCUGUUAAUUUUUUACAAUACAACUAACACAUGACUAUAUACCUCGAGUGGGGCAAACGUGUAUGAUAAAUCAUCGUGCGCACUCUUCUAAUAAACACAAAUCUUAUCGAUAACAUUACUCGGUAUGCACACAAGGAAACAUCGAGACGACUGCGGAGGUCCGAUAAAGUAUGGCGUGACCGGUCCCAGGAUUUCGAACCCUAUCCCAUAUUGACUACGACUUCGAGCAAUCUUAUCAGAAAAUUACUUUUUUAUCAAGGGUAUCAAGCCGCGCCGUAGCUCGCUGUGUUGUUAGUCUACUCGUUCUUGCUCACUUCGAGACAUAACCGCAUAACGUAUCUAUGGAUAAGGGUUAACAACAUUAUUUUUUACUGCCAAUUAUAUACUGGCUAUGCCAGUAGCGUACUAUGCGUCCUGACACCAAAACGAUAUUUAUGCAUCAAAGCGACGCUGAGAAAGUUCCGAUAUGUCUAGAUACUAUUACGUCGAUGAACAGAGUAAAAAAAUAUAGAAAAU
This is a long non-coding RNA of Cephus cinctus (wheat stem sawfly), 5560 nucleotides long. RefSeq lists it as uncharacterized. The transcript has 4 exons. The record is from RefSeq and is a predicted model, not a curated record. Lineage: Eukaryota; Metazoa; Arthropoda; Insecta; Hymenoptera; Cephidae.